RNAcentral lists this ribosomal RNA (613 nucleotides) under Leucocoprinus roseilividus. RNAcentral's name for it is "eukaryotic LSU rRNA". It matches the Rfam family "Eukaryotic large subunit ribosomal RNA", at positions 53 to 649 of the family's 3401-position model. The record is from RNAcentral. Lineage: Eukaryota; Fungi; Basidiomycota; Agaricomycetes; Agaricales; Agaricaceae.
GAGGAAAAGAAACUAACAAGGAUUCCCCUAGUAACUGCGAGUGAAGCGGGAAAAGCUCAAAUUUAAAAUCUGGCAGUCUUUGGCUGUCCGAGUUGUAAUCUAGAGAAGUGUUGCCCGCGCUGGACCGUGUACAAGUCUCCUGGAAUGGAGCGUCAUAGAGGGUGAGAAUCCCGUCUCUGACACGGACUACCAGGGCUUUGUGGUACGCUCUCAAAGAGUCGAGUUGUUUGGGAAUGCAGCUCAAAAUGGGUGGUAAAUUCCAUCUAAAGCUAAAUAUUGGCGAGAGACCGAUAGCGAACAAGUACCGUGAGGGAAAGAUGAAAAGAACUUUGGAAAGAGAGUUAAACAGUACGUGAAAUUGCUGAAAGGGAAACGCUUGAAGUCAGUCGCAUUGGCCGGGGAUCAGCCUCACUUUUUGUGUGGUGUACUUUCUGGUUGAUGGGUCAGCAUCAAUUUUGACUGCUGGAAAAAGGCUUGAGGAAUGUAGCAGCUUCGGCUGUGUUAUAGCUUCUUGUCACAUACAGCGGUUGGGAUUGAGGAACUCAGCACGCCGCAAGGCCGGGUUUCGACCACGUUCGUGCUUAGGAUGCUGGCAUAAUGGCUUUAAGCGACC